AGAGUUUGAUCCUGGCUCAGAACGAACGCUGGCGGCAGGCCUAACACAUGCAAGUCGAACGGGGACCUUCGGGUCUUACGUGGCGCACGGGUGAGUAACGCGUGGGAAUCUACCCCAAAGUCGGGGAUAACCGCUGGAAACGGCGGCUAAUACCGGAUACGCCCUGCGGGGCAAAGCUUUUGCGCUUUGGGAGGAGCCCGCGUCCGAUUAGCUAGUUGGUGGGGUAAAGGCCUACCAAGGCUGCGAUCGGUAGCUGGUCUGAGAGGAUGAUCAGCCACACUGGGACUGAGACACGGCCCAGACUCCUACGGGAGGCAGCAGUGGGGAAUCUUGGACAAUGGGGGCAACCCUGAUCCAGCCAUGCCGCGUGGGUGAAGAAGGCCUUAGGGUUGUAAAGCCCUUUCGGCGGGGAAGAUGAUGACGGUACCCGCAGAAGAAGCCCCGGCUAACUCCGUGCCAGCAGCCGCGGUAAUACGGAGGGGGCUAGCGUUGUUCGGAAUCACUGGGCGUAAAGGGCGCGUAGGCGGACCACCAAGUCAGGGGUGAAAGCCCUGGGCUCAACCUAGGAAGUGCCCUUGAAACUGAUGGUCUUGAGUCCGGGAGAGGAGAGCGGAAUUCCCAGUGUAGAGGUGAAAUUCGUAGAUAUUGGGAAGAACACCGGUGGCGAA
This 668-nucleotide ribosomal RNA is filed under the name uncultured bacterium. Its description in RNAcentral is "bacterial SSU rRNA". It matches the Rfam family "Bacterial small subunit ribosomal RNA", at positions 8 to 719 of the family's 1533-position model. The record is from RNAcentral.